UUUUUUUUUGCGUACUCAUGAACUCCAUCUGUAAUACGUGAAGAUAUUUUCAAAAAAUUGGAAAAUAUAAAUGCUACAGUGUAAUGCGCAAUAAAUAGCGCGUCUACAUUUAUAUUCUUUAAUGCUUUCGCGCUGUGAAUAGGCAAUAGUAGUUAGCUGGUGCAGUGGCUGGCCUCUCUGUGUUGCAGCGCGAGGGCGCAAGAUCGAAUCUGGGUCGAGGGUGCGCCAUCCAGCGGCUGCUGCGGGCGCCAGUUCUCUUGCGCGGUGCAGAAGGCACGCUAUAGGAGCUCCCGCCACGACCUCUCUCAUGAACAGAGAAGGGGGAAGACGCCGGGGUGGGCUGGCUGCACUGUGGCCACUAGGGCCCAGUUCAGUAGUAGCAGUUGUUUUCUUUCUUUUCUUUUUAUCUUUCUUUUGCUUUAUUAAUUCGGUACUGUUUUCUAAUUAAUUGCCAAAGUAAUUAAAUUUAGUUCAACUUGAAAUUUGGCACAUAAUUAGUAGGCAAUAUUUUGAGACCACACACAAGGUUUCACAUGAUUUGGAAAAGUUUAAAUAUUUGCUUAUUUUGAGAAGGCCAAAUUAAAUGCUUUUGGACCACUUAUUAAUUUCCUAGCAAUUUAUGUGUGAGUCAAACCAAGUUGGUUUCAACAUGACAUUGAUUAGGGAAAUUUUAUAGAACUAUUUGAACAUUUUAGUUUUGUAGCUUGAGGAAAUAAUAAUUUGACUUGUCUUUUAAAUUUGAAUUUGAGGUCGGUUUGGGACAAAGUGAUGAUUAACACAUUUUAAUUAUGACGACGUGGCACCAUUAAUAGGAGUUUACUGUAGCAUGACACCGGGGGUGUUACAUCUAGAUUUUCACGUUCAUUACCAUGGUUCUUCAGGUGGUUUUGAUGCUUUCGACAGCGGUGGACCGAACGCCCAUGAGGCUUCAGGUAGUGGGGGUAGUGGUGGACCGAACGCCCAUGAGGCUUCAGGUAGUGGGGCAGCGAAUGCAGAUGUGGGUGCAACCAUUUUCGCAACUGCCAAUGUGUCGGUAAGAUCAGGUGGAAUUGAUGGAACCACCACUCCUUCAGGAACCAAUCAGCCUCUCGAGUCUCAGAUUAUGCUUACUACAUGUUCCGGGAAUAUAUCUAAUGAUGGAUUGCAUAACCAGCCAGAUAUGACGGAUACUCAAAAUGAGGUUGUUGUUGAUGCUUUCAUGAAGAGGUGCGGUUCUUCUCUUGUCCGUAACUUGGAUAAGCAAUAUUCUAGGCGUCGCAAGAAAUUGCGCCUACCUUCUCCGCCCAUGGCCACUAGUACAACCGUUUCUGACCAGCCGUCGUUGGUUGAUACACAUCGUUGUAUCAAGGCAAUGGUCAUCAAUGAGCUUUGCAUUAUAGGCCCUGAUAAGGGCAUUAACUCAGUAAUUGCCGAUCCCACGCGGAAGAAGCAACAUCCUCGCAAGUGAGUUUCUUAUCAUUUGCCAGUCGAGUUCUUUUCAUUUCCUUUUUGUAUUGCAUUUUUUGUUAGUUGUUUCUGCAUGAUAACUUUUUGUACAUAUUUAGAUGUUAUUACUCUUUUGUGUUAGAACUUUUUCUAGCACCUACCUACUGAUAAUUAGAAGUAACUGUGUCUGGAAAGUUUUUAUUCCUCAAUAAGCUUGUGUUCUUGUCUAAAAUUAUUAGUAAUUAUAUCCUGGUAAGGCUAAUAACUUUUAGUAGUUAUUUUCGCGAUAAUAACUUUAGUUUUUCAUUUGAACAAGAUGUAGUUUAACUUUGUUUGCAUGAUAAUUUUAGUAAUUAUAUGCUGGUAAGCAUAUGUUAUUUGUCUCUAGUAACUUUUUUCUCACGUGCACUAUAUCCUUUUCAAAUAACUUGUCAGGGGUUCGAAUUCUCCAUCUAUUAGUGUUGCCGGCCUUCAGCAAACACGGUCUACCAGCAUGGGUAUCACGUCUGAGGUGGUACCUAGUAAUCUUACACGUUCUUCGGCAGAUGUUGACUCGUCUGACAUGUCACGCAGGUGAUUAUGAAUGUUAUUUUUCUCACUAUGGGAAAUCUAAAUGAUUUUCUCUAUUUGUUUAUUUUUCUUGGUAAAUUAGGUGAAUAUAUACCGGUAAUUUAUCUCUUUUAUGUGUGGCAUCACAAACGGUAUGGAAAGGGUUGGUAGUUUUUAUAGUCAAAGCUCUUGUAAGAUUACUAUUAUGUUUAGCAUGAUAAAUUUGUUGGUAACUUUGUUAUCUUCAUAGUUACCAUCUUCAUUAAUGAUUCAUGACGAUGUUGAGUUUUGCAUCAUGUGGAUAACCAAGUUGGCCAUAUGCUGAUAAAUAAGGUGAAUACAAGCUGUUAUAUAAUGCAAAUAUAAUAUGGUAACUAAUGUCUAUAUAAGCUGGUAACUAAUGUUAUAUUAGCUGGUAACUAAUGUUACUAUAAGCUGAUAAUCUUUCUUUUCUUGUACGGCAUAAUUAAUAUGGUACUAUAUAUCUGAUAUGAUUAUUUUGUACAUUUUUCACGAUAAGUAUAACUCCUUUUUUACAACCUUUCAUUUUUUGCCUAUGUGUGCAACAAGAAGACCAUGAUUACUGUGAGAAAGGUUAAGAAGUCUUCCAAAGUUGCAGUUGCAACUAGGUCUUCUCCUCGUUUUGCUUCCAAGGACCCGAAAGAUGAAUUUAAAGGCUCGCCCAUGGUGACUUCUCCAAUGGCCGUUGCGCAAGAUGAUGCCCUUGUGAGGAAUUCAACAGAUGCUAGUUUUAGAGUUGUGGAAGAGCUCGCGGCAGCAGCCACUAGUACUCAAGUGGUAGAAGAGAUUGCCAAUGUUGUUAUUGGCAUUGAAGCUGAAACUUCUGCUAAUCAAGCUCAAGGAAUUGCUCCUACAGGUAGCGCUACCAUAGCUGAAGAUGCCCAAGCUCCUGUCAAAAUACCAUGUGUUGUUCAAGCUCAAGUUGAAUCGGCCCAAUCCACUGUGGUAGAACAAGUUGAAACCGAAGCUGCAGUAGGUGUGGAAGCUCAAGUUGGGGAUGACCAAGUCACUAUUACUCAAGUGGUAGAAGAUAUUGCCAAUGUUGUUAUUGGCACUGACGCUGAAACUUCUGCUGAUCAAGCUCAAGGAAUUGCUCCUACAGGUAGCGCUGUCGUAGCUGAAGAUGCCCAAGCUCCUGUCAAAAUACCAUGUGUUGUUCAAGCUCAAGUUGAAUUGACUCAGUCCACUGUGGCAGAACAAGUUGAAACCGAAGCUGUAGUAGGUGUGGAAGCUCAUGCUGGGGAUGACCAAGUCGCCGCCCAAUAAUUCAACAGUAGUGCAGAUGUAGAAUAUGUUGUUGCUAAGAGGGCCUACUGGGAUUUCACCGCACCAUCUUGCUCUCUUGGCCUAGAUUUUGUCCUUACACCGCCAGGACUAGAUAUUACUACGACGGCCGCAGUCCCAGCUGCAGUACCAGCACCGUCCCCAGCGGUUCUUUCGACAACUCAAGCACCAGUAGUGGACCCAGCGGAUAACAAUGCUCCCCAAGACUGAGCAGCAGCAUCCCCAAUUGAUGAGAUGGCGGCAGCACCUCAAGAUUUAAAGAAUGCAGGAGAUAAUCCUGUUGACGCUAAGCCAAUUUCAUGCUCUGAGCCUGCUGACAUUGGUAAGUGAAGGCAUUUAUGUGUCUUCGUUUUAUCACAAAAGAGUGAUGGGAUGGAUGUCUGCUUUCCAAGACCUUUUUUAUGCUUUCAGUUUGCUCCUUAUCUGUCAGUUUAUGCUCUUUUUAUCCUAUGUAUGGAUGCCCCCCACCCCCACAUCUAAUGACUUCUGCUUUUGUGUAUGUGCUAUGAAAUGAACUUUGUGUUUUGUUUCACAUUCGCUCUCUUCCUUUGUAUGUUGUAUGAUCCGUGGAUGUAUUAUAUGUGGUUAUUAUUGUUCAUUAUUCCUGGUAACAUUUCUAACAUCUGACUAAUAAUUAUAGCGCUCUACUUUUUUGCCGCUAACUACAACUACACGAAAGAUAUUGUACUUUUUUUCUUACCAUUUAAUCGUACGGCAACAUUCACCAUGAUAACCUUUGUCAAUGUUAUGAUGGUAUUUUUUAUGCUAACUAUUUACCUACAUGGUUUCAUUUUUUUUGUGCUAAUUAGUUACCUAAAUGGUAACAUUUUUUAUCACACCCUGGUAACUAUAUUUUGUUUGUUUGUGGAGUUGCUUGUGGAGGUGGUAACUGUAACAUCCAAGUGAUUUUUAUGCUAUAACCAUUGGACUAAUUAAACAUAUGAUCCCCUGAUAACUUCUGCUACCACCAUGUUGAUAACUUCACCCCUUUUUCUUUUUUGUUGCUGAAAACACAUGCCCCCCUUACCCUGCACACAAACACCAUUCUAAUACAUUCAUGCUAACCCUUUAACUAUCCUGACCCCCUCAUUUUCUUCCCUUUUUCUCUAUACAGUAAUUAUAUCAUCAACUUGUACUAACUAUCACUUUUUUCUUUAGCUGUUUUUCCACAUUUUCGACAUUCCUUUUUUCGGUUCACAAACUGACCUGAUCCCAAAUUUUUUAAGAGCGUCGAGUUCGAGUUUAUGAUGCGGAUGUUGAAGACGACGAUGUAAUUAUGUGGGUUGAAAAAGUCGAAUGUGCCACUUUUAGAGCAAAAGCAAAUUACGCUUCUGUAAAAGGUACUAAUAGGAAGAUUUUCUGUAACAAUCUUUUUCCUAUUGCCAACCUUGAUAACAUCAUUAUGUUCAUGUUGAUAACUUAUUGUUCUUAACUCUGACAAGUUCUUUUCUUUUUGUUUCCCCGUAAUAUUUCCUUUUACCAAUCCCAACACUAAUAACUCCCUUCACUUUUCUUAUAGACCACCCCAUCAACCCUGAUUUUUUUACACCAGUUAUUCAACCUCUCAAUGGUAUUCAUUCAGCCAGUGUGACUCCUAAAUCGUACAUUCGGAAAGUUAGUGUAAGCUUCCCAUCGUAGUUCCUACUGCCUCCAUUUGUGGCCUUGCAGCAUCUGCACUCGAAGACGCUAUUUACGUAGAAGUUAUCAAGCACACCACUGAUUCAGUUGACUCCAGGAUAAAACAGUAAUGACAUUUAUUGUUUUCCUUUGCUCCAGUAUUUGACCCUUCACUGGUAAAAACAUUGGCUUAUAUACUAUUUUUCUUUUUUUGCUUUCUAGUACUAGGGUUAUUGACAUCGAUGGGUGGUGGGUCACAUUGGAGGAGCUUGCUAAUAGUGUAAUAGAAGGUGGUCAUGUUUCGAACAAUAUUGCAGAGCUCCACAUCCAAACUCUUUUUGAUUCUGUAACCCCAGGGAAGAUUAUCUUUCCAUAGUUGCUGUCAGUGUAUCUUCUCAUAUGUGAUUUCAAGAGCAAGUUCCUAAUCAAAUAUUUUCGUCGUGAUGUAAACUACAUACUUAGUCACCAAAAUCAGGUUCAUUUUUUGAUGUAAACUACAUACUUUUUUGCUUUUAAAUUCUACAAGCUAUUUUUUAAUUGGUAUAACAGGCAAAAAAAUUAAGAUGUUGAUCUGGUUUUGUCACACAUCAUACCACUAAAGAAUUUUAGUCGGUACCUAGUUCUGUUACUUUUCCAUGGUAACUUUCAUGUAUGCCUGCUGGUAACCUCUGUUGUGUGUGAUUUGAUAACUUGCCUUUUUAACUGUAAAUGCAUUGGUAACUUCUUGUGUUCAUGUGUUCCCAUUUUUUUAACAGCUUUUGUUUCCAACACUGCAAAAGUUGGGACCUCUACCAAAGGACGGGCAUUGGUAUGUCUUGUGCCUUAAUCUCAAGGCAAAACAAUUUGAAGUUCUUAAUUCUCUUCAUCCACAAGAUAGCCCUUCGCUCAUCACACAUGCGGCGAAGCUUAUGAAUGGUAUUAAAAAAGCCUGGUUGAUUGCGUACAAGGACUCGAGUAAGAAGAUCCAAGACUAUGAUCGUGUGUACAUCGAUGUGUUCAAACAGGACAAUGGGUUAGUUUUUUUGGCUAGUAGUCCAUCAUUUUUUCCACUCUAAAUACCCGGUAACUUAGUAGUGUAGCAUUUUAAAAAUUCGCUCAGCUUUUUGCAUAUCUUAUUUUUCUUUUAACACAUUUUUUUUCUUACAACACUGAUUGCAGUUUCUUCGCGUUCAAGAUCUUGGAGUUCUGGGAUGGUAAAAAUAUCCUGGCAAUAACUCAGGAGCAGAUCCCGGUGUUCAGGAAGAUAUUGACAAGCAUGUGGCUGGACCAUCCUCUUAACAAAUGCACGCAAUGGCACUAUCACUUGUUUAAUAAGAAGUAAUUGAGGUAAGGAAUUUGCACCAAUAUAAGUUUGAAUCUAUGUUUAAGAAUGAUGAUAGUUUAUUCUUACUCACGUUGGACAAACAUAUCCAUGCUGAACAAUCUGAUCGCUUUUUUUUCUGGGCUGAUUACUAUCUUUUUUAUACAUUUUUUAGUGAUAACUUAUGUUAGUCAGUGCUGAUAACAUAUCUUAUCUGGUGCUGAUAACUUUCUAUUUCAUGGUGCCAUAACAUUUUGCUCACAGACAAAGAACGAUAACUAAUCUCAUUCUCAGUGCUGAUAAUCCCCAUUACAUUUUGGAUGAUAACUUGCAUGUUUCAGUGCUGAUAACUUUUCAUUACAUGGCGUCAUAACAUUUUGCUCAGAAAUGAAGAACGAUAACUAAUCUCAUUCUCAGUGCGGAUAAUCCCCAUUACAUUUUUGGAUGAUAACUUGUAUGUUUCAGUGCUGAUAAAUUUUCAUUACAUGGUGUCAUGACAUCGUUUACAAAAUAAAAAUGGUAAAACUAAUAAGUAAAUUUACAUAGCACACUGAUAACUUGCACUUCAAUGCCCAUCUAACUUUUUUGCACUUCAAGUUGGUAAACUUAUCCCCUUUGUGUUCUUUCAAUUUACUGCAAACUUGAAGAUAACUUUGUCUAACAUUUAGCUGGUAACGUACGGAACGCUUGACAAUCUUAUUUUUUAGGUCUCACCUGUUUCUCGGUGCGGGAUGGGUGAGGUACAUUUGCAUUUAUCAUGUUUUGUCGACCCGCCGACUCUACAUUUCCUCUUUUUCUGGUUUUGCAAUGUCAAAUGGGUGUUGAAAUCUUUUAUCUUUUGGACGCCCUUUCGUAGUAGACUUUGGUGGGUCUAGUAUCAUUCUUGUGUUUGAUGAUUGGGAUCCCUCGGCAUGUGAGCCCUGGAACUCAAAAGUAUUGCCAGAAACAUGCCUGGCAGGAAUGCUUCCUUGAUGCGCUACUGGGACACCUUUAGUGGCACUAGUCCCUGGCGGUGAAGAAAACAUUUCUGCUUCUUCUCCCUCAUCUUUCUCCUUUCUUGCUUUCUUUAUCUGCCUCUUUUCAGUGCAUCCAUGUCGUCUCUGAAAGCAUCAACGUGUUUCCUUGCCAAUGCCAUCCCUUCAUAUUCACCACAUGCCAAUUCCAAUGCCAAGCUCAAUAUGCAAGAGCCUAAGCUUGGGGAUGCCCAAGUCACCCCAAGGUAAUAUUCAAGGACAACCAAGAGCCUAAGCUUGGGGAUGCCCCGGAAGGCAUCCCCUCUUUCGUCUUCGUUCAUCAGUAACUUUACUUGGAGCUAUAUUUUUAUUCACCACAUGAUAUGUGUUUUGCUUGGAGCGUCAUUUUCUUUUGUUGGUAUUUGCUUGCUGUUAUUUAGAAUAAUGUUUUGCAUCUUUAUUUUCAAUAAAAAUGUCAAUGAUAGCCUUUACCAUGCUUAUUUUGCUAGUAUACAUGUUGCUGUUUGAAAACAGAAAGUUUACCGCUGUUGCAAAAAUUUCCUAGAAAAGUCAAAGGAUGGUAUAAUGUUGAAACUUUUUGCAUAUUGAGCUAUGAUAAAUAUUCUACAGUGAGGUAUUUUUCUCAUAAUUUUUGGAGUUAGGGAAGUAUGAUGAAUCUUGCAUUCUUUACAGACUAUACUGUUUUGGCAGAUUGCUGUUAUAUUUGCAUUGUUUGCAUAUGUUGCUUGUUUAAUGAUUCUAUUUGAGGAUAGGAGUAUUAAAUAUGUAGAGUCAUUUAGUAUGCAAUGUUUAAUAAUAAUUUUAGUGAUUUUUUACACUAGAAAAUGAUAAGUUUUUGCAUUGGUUUAUACUAACCUAUCUCACGAGUUCUUGUUGAGUUUGGUGUGGAUGAAGCUUUUGAUAAAAAGAGAAACCAUGAUAUGAGAGGAAUUAAGGAGACACAAAAGCUCAAGCUUGGGGAUGCCCAAGGCACCCCAAGAUAAUAUUUCAAGAAGUCUCAAUCAUCUAAGCUUGGGGAUGCCUCGUUAGGCAUCCCACCUUUCAUCUUCAACAACUAUCGGUUAGUUUCAGUUGAGCCUAAGUUUUUGCUUCUUCACUUGAGUUGUGCUAUCCUUGCAAUGUCAUUUUAUUUUGCUUUGCUUGCUUUUUGAAUAAAAUACCAAGAUCUGGAAUUCUUAAAUGAGAGAGAGUCUUCACAUAGUUACAUAAUUAUUUAGCUACUCAUUGAUCUUCACUUAUAUCUUUUAAGAGUAGUUUGUCAUUUACUCGUGUGCUUCACUUAUAUCCUAUGAGUAAAUGGUUGAAUGAGUUAAAUGUCAUAAAUCUGAAAUUAUAUAUGUCUUAUUUGCUUAUCCCAUGUGGAGUAAUGACUUCACAUCUAAGAAGUAGAGGUUGUAAAUUUAUUGAAGGUUAGCAAGCAUUGUAUUGGUCAUUUGAACAAUUCAUGAAAGAAUAUUGAAGGAAGAGAGAUUUCACAUAUAAAUAUACUAUCCUAGACAUCUUUUAUAAUUGUGAGCACUCAUUAAGUAUGACAUGCUAAAGAUUUGAUGUUGGACAAAGAAGACAACGUAAUGGGUUAUGUUUUCUCACAUCUCAGUUAAAAGAUAUUGUCAUGGAUCAUUCAAACAUGUUGAGCUUGCCUUUCCCCCUCAUGCUAGCCAAAAUUCCUUGCACCAAGUAGAGAUACUACUUGUGCUUCCAAAUAUCCUUAAACCUAGUUUUGCCAUGAGAGUCCACCAUACCUACCUAUAUGCGGUAUUUACCUGUCGUUCCAAGUAAAUUUGCAUGUGCCAAACUCUAAACCUUCAAAUAAUAAUCUGUUUUGUACGCCUGAAUUGCUCAUGUAGCGACUAGGGGUUGUCAAUAUCUUCCAUGCUAGGUGGGUUAUUCUCAAUAUGAGUGGACUCCGCUCAUCAUUCACGAGAAAAAUGGCUCGUAACCGGGAUGCCCAGUCCCAUGAUCAAAAGAUCAAAAUCAAAUCAAAAAUAAUUGCAAACAAAACUCCCCCAGGUUUGAUGUUAGUUGGAGGCACCCGUUGUUUCGGGCAAGCCAUGGAUUGAUGAUUGUUGGUGGAGGGGGAGUAAAAACUUCUACCAUUCUGUUUGGGAACCGCCUAUAAUGUAUGUAGUAUGGAAGAUAUUGGGAACUCUUGGUUGUUAUGUUGACAAUGAGAUCAUACCUCCCAGAAUUAUUUAUCUCUAUUUCAAAAUUGAGCUCUGGCACCCCUGCAAAUCACUACUUCCCUCUGCGAAGGGCCUAUCUUUUACUUUUAUGCAAGAGUCAAGGUGAUCUUCACCUUUCCCUUUUUCAUUUUAUCCUUUGGCAAGCACCUCGUGUUGGAAAGAUCCUGAUAUAUAUAUCCAAUUGGAUGUAAGUUAGCAUGAACUAUUAUUGUUGACAUCACCCAAAGGUGAAUUCGUUGGGAGGCGAAAUUAUAAGCCCCUAUCUUUCUCAGUGUCCGAUUAAAACUCCAUAACCAUAAGUAUUGCAUGAGUGUUAGCAAUUGUAGAAGACUAUAUGAUAGUUGAGUAUGUGGAGUUUGCUAAAUCAAAGCUCUGACAUAGACCCUUCCUGAAAAUAAGAUGAAUUGCAGUUGUUUGAUGACUGAGAACAUAGUUUGCUAGUUUUCAAGAGUUUAUGGUCUAUGCUUUAACAUGUGAAUUGCUUGUUACUUGUUCGUGAGAAGUUUUAUGAGAUGAAGUACUGUUAUGACAUAUAAUCAUGCUAGAAAAGGUGAUUGAAAUUAUCAUUGAUCAAACUUGUGCACCUGCUAGCAUUCACACUUCAUAAAUUCUUUCUUUUAUCAUUUACCUACUUGAGGACGAGCAGGAAUUAAGCUUGGGGAUGCUAAUACAUCUCCAACGUAUCUAUAAUUUAUGAAGCAUUCAUGCUAUUUUAUUAUCUGUUUUGAAUGAUUACGGGCUUUAUUAUACACUUUUAUAUUACUUUUGGGACUAACCUAUUAACCGGAGGCCCAUCCCAUAUUGUUGUUUUAUUGCUUGUUUCAGUAUUUCGAAGAAAAGGAAUAUCAAAUGGAGUCCAAACGGAAUGAAACCUUCGGGAGCGUGAUUUUUGGAACGAACAUGAUCCGGGAGACUUGGAGUACAAGCCAGGGAAGCUUCAAGGAGGCCGGGAGAUAGGAGGGUGUGCCCCCUGUCUCGUGGGCCCCUUGAGACUCCCCCAACUGACUUCUUUUGCCUAUAUAUUCCCUUAUACCCUAAAACCAUCGAAUACGAAGAUAGAUCGGGAGUUCCGCUGCCGCAAGCCUCUGUAGCCACCAAAAACCUCUCGGGAGCCUGUUCCGGCACCCUACCGGAGGGGGAAUCCCUCACCGGUGGCCAUCUUCAUCAUCCCGAUGCUCUCCAUGACGAGGAGGGAGUAGUUCACCCUCGGGGCUGAGGGUAUGUACCAGUAGCUAUGUAUUUGAUCUCUCUCUCUCUCUCAUGUUCUCUUUAUGGCAUGAUCUUGAUGUAUCGCGAGCUUUGCUAUUAUAGUUGGAUCUUAUGAUGUUUCUCCCCUCUACUCUCUUGUGAUGAAUUGAGUUUUCCUUUUAAAGUUAUCUUGUUGGAUUGAGUCUUUAAGGAUUUGAGAACACUUGAUGUAUGUCUUGCCGUGCUUAUCUGUGGUGACAAUGGGAUAUCACGUGAUCCACUUGAUGUAUGUUUUGGUGAUCAACUUGCGGGUUCCGCCCAUGAACCUAUGCAUAGGGGUUGGCACAUGUUUUCGUCUUGACUCUCCGGUAGAAACUUUGGGGCACUCUUUGAAGUACUUUGUGUUGGUUUGAAUAGAUGAAUCUGAGAUUGUGUGAUACAUAUCGUAUAAUCAUGCCCAUGGAUACUUGAGGUGACAAUGGAGUAUCUAGGUGACAUUAGGGUUUUGGUUGAUUUGUGUCUUAAGGUGUUAUUCUAGUAUGAACUCUAUGAUAGAUUGAACGAAAAGAAUAGCUUCAUGUUAUUUUACUACAGACUCUUGAAUAGAUAGAACAAAAAGGAUAACUUUGAGGUGGUUUCGUACCCUACCAUAAUCUCUUCGUUUGUUCUCCGCUAUUAGUGGCUUUGGAGUGACUUGUUGCAUGUUGAGGGAUAGUUAUAUGAUCCAAUUAUGUUAUUAUUGUUGAGAGAACUUGCACUAGUGAAAGUAUGAACCCUAGGCCUUGUUUCCUACCAUUGCAAUACCGUUUACGCUCACUUUUGUCAUUAGUUACCUUGCUGUUUUUAUAUUUUCAGAUUACAAAAACCUAUAUCUACCAUCCAUAUUGCACUUGUAUCACCAUCUUUUCGCUGAACUAGUGCACCUAUACAAUUUACCAUUAUAUUGGGUGUGUUCGGGACACCAGAGACUCUUUAUUAUUUGGUUGCAGGGUUGUUUGAGAGAGACCAUCUUCAUCCUAUGCCUCCCACGGAUUGAUAAACCUUAGGCCAUCCACUUGAGGGAAAUUUGCUACUGUCCUACAAACCAGUGCACUUGUAGGCCCAACAACGUCUACAAGAACAAGGUUGUGUAGUAGACAUCACUCAUCACGAUCAAACUUGCAGCAAGUGCAUGAGUAUACCCCUUCAUCCUUGUUUGCCUGCACAUGGUAGUCCCUAUCCCCAUAAUUUGGUAGUAUCCCUCGGAGUGACCACACCCUGAAGGUUCCAUCUUGCAAAGUGUCGCAUCCAUAAGCAGUAUUUAGCUUCAUCUCUACUUGGAACUUGGAGAACAAAUUUUGCGUGUAUAUCCCUCACAUCUGCAACUCGAUUAGGUUCAAUGAAUACAUGUCUGCCUCUUUGUAAAUUGUGUCCACUUGCUCUUUCGCCACGACCACCAUUACUUUCUCCUUGAUUGCAGUGUAUUGAGUUGCAAACUCAAUCAAUGAGUUGUUGGGGUUCAUGUACUUCUUUAGCACAGCAUUGAAUCCCUGGCUCCUUGCAGUUGUCUGCAAGAAUGGAAAGAAAUACUUCAUGUAGUACACCGGGCCCAACAUUUCCUAUUUUCCCACAACCAGUGAAAAUGUUCAUUGUCAAUCUGUCCAUAUUCAUCCAUCAUUGCCCACCAUUUGUUUUCAAACUCUUCCUCUGUGUACACAAAACAUGAGCCGAGAAAAUUACAACGUCAUCCACAAAUCAAUGGUAAUUAAAGUACAAAUAUGCUGGUAACUUUUCUUAGUUUUUAGGUGGUAACAUCAUGGAACCAGUUUUCCAGAUUAUUGGUUCUUUUUCAUCUGUGAAAUUUUUCUUCUUUUUGUUUGUUUUACACCUAGGCCGGUAACUUUCUAAAUUAAUAGUUGGUCACAACAUAUGUAGUUUUUCCGGUACAAAAUAACUAGACCCAUUUUGCCAAUAUCAAACGUAAAUGUUUUGUUAGUUUUCUUUCUACCCAGAUGGUGGUUACCUGUCCACACAUUUUUUUGCCCAUGGUAAUUGAUGUUUCUGUAGUGAACUGCCCCCCUGGUAAUAUAACCUACAAGAUCAUGGUCACCUGUAUAGACCUACACAUGGUAACCUAAAUAUGGUAAAUUGACCUCACAAAUUUUUAUAUGGCUUCUCAAGUUUGCUGCAUUGUAAUUAAAAUGUGUCAGCAGAGUAGGUAUGUACCAGUCAAGCUGUUGUCAACACAGUCUUUGAACGCUUUCUUUAGUGGUUUAUCAUCAGCCAUAAGCUUUCCAAGUUUCUCAUGCGCCUUUUUCAUUAUAUGCCAGCGGCAAUUUCUAUGUAUUAUGUUCAAGAAGACCUCGUCGACCGCACUCCUCAUUGCAAAGUCCCGAUUUGUGAUGAUGUUUUUCGAGGCAACACCACCCAUUGCAUGGAGGAAGGUGUUAAACGGCCACACAAAGUUCUCCUUUAGUUUGUUUUGAACGAAGCCACACCCAAACUGGAUGGAUUGACCAUGGUUAUUAAUUCCAAUGAAUGGUGCACAUGGCAUCUUGUACAUGUUUGUCAUGUAUGUCGUGUCGAACGACAAACAAUCAUUAUAAUUUGCAUAUGCCCUGCGUGAUGCGCCAUCAAUCCAGAACAAGUUCUCAACCCUAUCCUCAUCAUCAAGCUUGAUUCUCCAGUAGAAAUAUGAAAUUUUGGCCCUCGUCUCUUGGAAGUACGCAAUUUUGCUCCCAACGUCCGCGCGGCGGUGCUCUAAGCGGAACUUAGCUCAUUAAUUAGCAAUGUCUUGUGUCUCAAAGUUGCAUCCAUGCAGAACCCUCAAGAAGUCCCGAUCCUACUUUGGAAUGUACCGAUGUGAUGAUAAGAAUUUUGUUAGGGACGGCUUUUUGAUGAGUGGGUGAUUCUGGUUGCCCUCGAAAUGUCCAACAGUUCACCAUGCAUCAUCGUGGGAUAGGUACAUGUGUGCUUCACAUUCAGUCCUAACAACCUUCUUUUUUUCCUCUUCUUGACAAUGUUGGCUGGGUUUUCCACAUCUUGCGGUUCAUCCCUGUCCCUACGUUGUUUGCCAUAUUUUGUAAAAACUAGGAGCACCCUACUUAUAGUUCCAUCAACCCUCUCUUUCUUGAAUUGCUUCCUAAUUGCAAAGCCAGUCCUGCGUGGGUAGAUGUUGUAGUGGUCACGUGCGCUCUCCAGAGUGUCAAAUUUUGUCCCUUGUAAAGGUGGCUUAGGUGUGGAAUAUGCCUCCAUAUUGUUGCCUUCCAUAUCAGCAUCGAUCCCAGCUGAUUCUAGAGUUGUAGGUUCACUUAUUGUCUACUCUGCAAGGCUCCCAACUCCUAUGCUUGCACUUUUUCCAGCACUAGGUGCAUUUGUUCCACCACUAGGCAAGUUGUUGUUUGCGCUGAUUGCCCGAGCACCUGCAAUUUGGCCUGGUAGAUUAGUGGAAUCUAGUAUGAUAAAUAACAGUUUUCCAUCAUGGUAGUUUUCUGAAGAAUUAGUGAAUGUAAUUUUUUUCUACCCAAACAACCCUGGUAUUUUUCCUAUUUUGAGCUUGGUAAUAUAUGAUCACCAAUGUUGGUAAUUUUCAAACCCACUUCACUAGUAAAGUAUAAAACUGUUUUUUUAUUCCAUGAUGAUAUGUAAACACUAAUGCUGGUAAUUUUACAUGUUUCCAUGAUGUUUGGGUACGCAGAAUUGUUGCUUGGUGUGCGCGUUGCAUCAUCCUGUUCAUGCAUUCUCCCUCCUCCUGCAUCUUCUGCAUUAUCUCCUCUACUAGCAUCCAUUAUCUCCUCCUGCUUCAUUCUUUUUUAUGUUUGCACGUUAGUAUACGUUUACACGUGUUCACUCUUAUUUUGGAACUCAUCGUUUUGUUUACUCUUUACAUAGUUUUUUGAAGGCAAGAAUCGCAGGGGUGAUUGGCAAGAAUAUUAAACAGGACAAUUACAGUACAACACGAGCAUCUCCAUUAAAAGGCACCACUUUUAUUUAUCCAAUGGUAGUACUUAACAAAAGUGGAUGAUAACUUUUACUAUGUACAGAUUGGUAACUUGCUUACUUCAUGCAGUAUAGCAUUUUCUAGACACAAAAAUGAACCUAUUUGUAAUGCAUUUUCCAUUGAAGGAGAGUAUGAUUUUUGUGAUCAAUAAAGGUCCCUCUUUCCUUUAUCUGUGUUUAUUUUUCCAUGGUAGACACAAAAUCCAUGUUUUAUAUAGCAAGGGGGUGUGGUAUAUGGUGGGUAGUCUGUUAUGUUGCAUAUAGUUGGUAACAAAAAGUGCGAGGGGUUGGUAAUUUUGCACAGAUUUUGAUGGUAAGUCACUGUACUAGGCAGGAUUAUCAGAGAAUUUUGCUUAUUCUGUUUCCAUGAGAUGGAGGGAUGGUAAUUUUUGCACAGAUUGGGAGGGGGUGGGGUAAGUCUUUGUAGUAAGCAGAAUUUUUUGGAGAUGUUGGAUGAGUUUUGUUUCUUACCAGGGGUGGGGUGAUGUUGCCUGGUGAUUUGUUCGCUGGAUCCCUGGUAAUUUCCCCCGUCUAGGCCUCUGGUUUGAUGUAUGCAGAGUAGUAGGCCUCUGGAAUGAUCCAGAUCUGGAGGAGUGGUAGGUUUUUGGUGUUGAUUUGAGUAGCUGGGUAGGGGGGAGGGACAGGUGGGUGGUCACUGGUGCCAUAAGGUGCUAUACAAAUGAUUUUUAACCCCUUUCCGCGAUGACAUUUGGAACAUUCGCCAAGUGAGUGUGGGCGAUAGGGGCUCUUUCCCACACGAGCCAGAAACCGUCGGGGAUGAGCGAGCGGCUACUGACGAUCGCCAUAGAAUAAAUGUAUGAGAAGCCGCCCCAGUCACACACGUUACAUCUCUGACGUUACGUUUAUGAUCAGAGAGACAUCCCAAGCGAUUACGCCGCUAUAAUCGUGUGAAAAAGGUGGACAUUAACAUUUAAUCUGCUAAUAUGUUUGUGAUUGGUACGUAAUCGCACACGGUUCAAGAAUGUAAAAUGUGUGUGGUGCCUCUACUAACGCCAACGUGCCAAUUUUCAUAACUGUGUGCGAUUGGUAUUCCUAUCACACAUGCACACCGGUUUGAAACGUUUGCCAUAUUACCAUGAAUCGCACACGCAUAUGAGAUGAAACCGUGUGUUCGUCCAUCGAGCAUCACAAAUGUUUCACAUCAAAGAACCGUCUGUUUUCAUUUUUUUCAUCACACACGUUGUUUUCUUUCUAACCGUGUGCACAUUAUUUUAUUUGCUCAUGUACAUUUUUGCUGUAAUUUAUUAUUCAAAUUGGAAAUUUUGAAAUAUGAAACAUGCAAUUCAAAUUCUCAGCACAAUGGACGAAUAGCGAAUCCACAAAUAAAAUUGCCAGUACAAUAUGUUCAGUAAUUACAGGAUUAGACAGCAAUUAACUAUGAUGAACCACAAAUUUACAGGCGGUAAAGGUGAAGAGACAAGUGUAAAUCAUUUUGACUGUCGAUGGUGUUGAAGAAGCGGAAUGCCCAUAAUGUGCCUUCCUGCAUGCCAUAGGCACAAACAACUUUUGUCCAACCCCUUGUGACGAUCGCCCACCCAUCCUUCACCGCCUUCAAGAAGACUUCUAGAGCAUUAUCAUGGUAGCAUGAAUUAUAUACUUUAACCUUAGUUUUCUCCACUCCGGUCAUGUAGUUUGCAAGGUAAUCAUCAUUAAAUAGCUUCGGAAACUACUGAAAAGAGAAAAAUAUCAGAUCAUGAGGUCUAAUAGAGUAACUUGUUGUGGGCAGGGGGAAAAGGCAACACAUUACUUACCAUCCUAAAGUUCACUGUUGUCUUGGAGAAAGUGUAAGUAAAGAGCUUAAUUCCCAUCAUCAGUUUUUUUUGCCUAACAAUCUUUCUUAGUUUCCUCACUUGAUGCUUGUUCAUGAAUAUCUCAUUGCCCCAUACGCAAAAGGGAUCGAAGCGUGGAUCAGUACCGCUCAUAUAUGUACGUACAAGCAACCAGUAAAUGUUAGAAGCUAAACUGAGAUUGCAUAAAUGAUGUAAAAUACAACUACCUAUAUUCCUAAGUACAAGUAUUUUUAGAGAUUUCAGUAUGGAUGUACAUAUAUGGAUGUAUAUAGAAUUAUAGAUAUAGUUUAGAUUAGAAUCUAGAUUCACUCAUUUUGCUCCUUAUGUAGUCUAUAUUGGAAUCUCUAAAAAUACUUAUAUUUAGGAAUAGAUGGCGUAUAAGACAUGGGAUGCAGCUAACCUCGACGGCAAACAACAGCAUCACCCAUUGUAGCCAUGUGUAAGUACAUGGAAAGCCAAUGUUAACUACAACAGGGUUAACAUACACCAAAAAUAGCAAAUGGUAAUAAAACGGCAGUAUCUGUAGUGAUAUCUUCAUUGCGAAAGAGUAGCACGGUAGCAAAGGGUCGAAAUAAAAAAUGGAUACAACUGUUUAUUGCAACAGACUUAACAGCAUCCUACUUCAUGUUUUGUAAGUUUGUAGCCAUUGAAAUACAACUGUUUAAAAAUGGAUACAACUAUUAAAUGCAAUAGGCUUAAUGGCCAUUGAAACUGGUACUGAUAAAAAUGCAAUUGGCAGAGUUAAACAUCACAAGGCAGGUGCUGCCAGAGCAGAUAAUGGCCCAAUUGUCUAUAAAAAGGUAGGGGAAAUAUCUUUAAUGUGUUGGGCAUUUUUACUACAACAUGCUUAAUACAUUGACCCUACAAAAUAUAGUCAUUAAUUACAACUGGUAUUGGUAAGAUCGAACUGGUGAGUACAUAGUUGGUAAGUCCUGAGAGGUAGUUGAUGGGCACUUCAUCUUGGCCAGACCCUGCCCAAAGUCAGCGGCGGCGGAGGCGAGCUCUUCCUUCGGGUCGAAGCAUGGAUAAGUGCCCCCGAUAUGUGUACCUACAAGAAGCAAGAAAAUGUUAGAAGCCAAAUUGCAAUUGCACAAAUGACAUAAAAUACUUUAAGCCAUGGGAUGCGGCUAACCUCGACGGUAAACAACAUCAUUGCCCGUUAUGGCCCUGCAUAAGUACAUGGAAAGCCAUGUUAAGUAUAACAGGGUUAGCAUCCACCAAAAAUAGCAAAUGAGCAGCAUCUCUAGUAUAUCUUCAUUGCGGAGAGUUGUUGGAAAUAUGCCCUAGAGGCAAUAAUAAAUUAGUUAUUAUUAUAUUUCCUUGUUCAUGAUAAUCAUUUAUUAUCCAUGCUAUAAUUGUAUUGAUAGGAAACUCAGAUACAUGUGUGGGUACAUAGACAACACCAUGUCCCUAGUAAGCCUCUAGUUGACUAGAUCGUUGAUCAAUAGAUGGUUACGGUUUCCUGACCAUGGACAUUGGAUGUCGUUGAUAACGGGAUCACAUCAUUAGGAGAAUGAUGUGAUGGACAAGACCCAAUCCUAAGCCUAGCACAGAGAUCGUGUAGUUCGUAUGCUAAAGCUUUUCUAAUGUCAAGUAUCUUUUCCUUAGACCAUGAGAUUGUGCAACUCCCGGAUACCGUAGGAAUGCUUUGGGUGUACCAAAUGUCAUAACGUAACUGGGUGGCUAUAAAGGUGCACUACAGGUAUCUCCGAAAGUGUCUGUUGGGUUGGCACGAAUCGAGACUGGGAUUUGUCACUCCGUGUGACGAGAGGUAUCUCUGGGCCCACUCGGUAGGACAUCAUCAUAAUGUGAACAAUGUGAUCAAAUAGUUGAUCGCAGGAUGAUGUGUUACGGAACGAGUAAAGAGACUUGCCGGUAACGAGAUUGAACAAGGUAUCGGUAUACGGACGAUCGAAUCUCGGGCAAGUACAAUACCGUUAGACAAAGGGAAUUGUAUACGGGAUUGAUUGAGUCCUUGACAUCGUGGUCCAUCCGAUGAGAUCAUCGUGGAACAUGUGGGAGCCAACAUGGGUAUCCAGAUCCCGGUUGGUUAUUGACCGGAGAACGUCUCAGUCAUGUCUACAUGGUUCCCAAACCCGUAGGGUCUACACACUUAAGGUUCGAUGACGCUAGGGUUAUAAAGCAAGUUAAUAUGUGGUUACCGAAUGUUGUUCGGAGUCCCGGAUGAGAUCCCGGACGUCAUGAGGAGUUCCGGAAUGGUCCGGAGGUAAAGAUUUAUAUAUGGAAAGUUGUUGUUCGGGUUCCGGAAAAAGUUCGGGUUUUUUCGGUAUUGUAUCGGGAAGCUUCCAGAAGGUUCCGGAGGAUUCCGGAGGGGUCUGGAGGUCCGGAAAUUGUUCCACCACGUCCAAUACAGUAGCAUGGGCUGUAGGGGGGCGCCCUAGCCUUAAUGGGCUAGGGGCACCAGCCGCCCCAAGGCCGAUGUGCAUGGGAAGGGGAAAACCCUUAGGGGGAGGGCCUCCACUUGACUUGGGAGGCACUCCUCCCCCCCUUGGCCAUCGCCCCCUCCUCAGAUUGGAUCUGAGGGGGCCGGCCCCUUCUCCCUUGCCCCUAUAUAUAUGUGGGGGUGGGAGGGCAGCCGCACCACAAGUUCUGGCGCAGCCCUCCCCCUCUCCCAAGCCCUCCUCCUCUCCCGCGGUGCUUGGCGAAGCCCUGCAGGAUUGCCACGCUCCUCCAUCACCACCACGCCGUUGUGCUGCUGCUGGAUGGAGUCUUCCUCAACCUCUCCCUCUCUCCUUGCUGGAUCAAGGCAUGGGAGACGUCACUGGGUUGUACGUGUGUUGAACGCGGAGGUGCCGUCCGUUCGGCACUAGGAUCUCCGGUGAUUUGGAUCACGACGAGUACGACUCCUUCAACCCCAUUCUCUUGAACGCUUCCGCUUAGCGAUCUACAAGGGUAUGUAGAUGCACUCUCCUUCCCCUCAUUGGUGGUUUCUCCAUAGAUAGAUCUUGGUGACACGUAGGAAAAUUUUGAAUUUCUGCUACGUUCCCCAACAGUGGCAUCAUGAGCUAGGUCUAUUGCGUAGGUUCUUUGCACGAGUAGAACACAAAGUAGUUGUGGGCGUUGAUUUUGUUCAAUAUGCUUACCGUUACUAGUCCAAUCUUGUUUCGACGGUAUUGUGGGAUGAAGCGGCCCGGACCGACCUUACACGUACUCUUACGUGAGACAGGUUCCACCGACUGACAUGCACUUGGUGCAUAAGGUGGCUAGCGGGUGCCAGUCUCUCCCACUUUAGUCGGAACGGAUUCGAUGAAAAGGGUCCUUAUGAAGGGUAAAUAGCAAUUGACAUAUCACGUUGUGGUUUUGCGUAGGUAAGAAACGUUCUUGCUAGAAACCCAUAGCAGCCACGUAAAACAUGCAAACAACAAUUAGAGGACGUCUAACUUGUUUUUGCAGGGUAUGCUAUGUGAUGUGAUAUGGCCAAGAAGAAUGUGAUGAAUGAUAUGUGAUGUACGAGAUUGAUCAUGUUCUUGUAAUAGGAAUCACGACUUGCAUGUCGAUGAGUAUGACAACCGGCAGGAGCCAUAGGAGUUGUCUUUAUUUAUUGUAUGACAUGCGUGUCAUUGAACAACGCCAUGUAAUUACUUUACUUUAUUGCUAACCGGUAGCCAUAGUAGUGGAAGUAAUAAGUUGGCGAGACAACUUCAUGGAGACACGAUGAUGGAGAUCAUGAUGAUAGAGAUCAUGGUGUCAUGCCGGUGAUGAUGAUGAUCAUGGAGCCCCGAAGAUGGAGAUCAAAAGGAGCAAUGUGAUAUUGGCCAUAUCAUGUCACUAUUUGAUUGCAUGUGAUGUUUAUCAUGUUUAUGCAUCUUUUUGCUUAGAUCGACGGUAGUAAAUAAGAUGUUCCCUCAAUAAAAUUUCUAGAAAGUGUUCCCCCUAACUGUGCACCGUUGCGAAAGUUCGUCGUUUCGAAGCACCACGUGAUGAUCGGGUGUGAUAGAUUCUUACGUUCACAUACAACGGGUGUAAGACAGAUUUACACCCGCAAAACACUUAGGUUGACUUGACGAGCCUAGCAUGUACAGACAUGGCCUCGGAACACAAGAGACCGAAAGGUCGAGCAUGAGUCGUAUAGUAGAUACGAUCAACAUGAAGAUGUUCACCGAUGAUGACUAGUCCGUCUCACGUGAUGAUCGGACAUGGCCUAGUUGACUCGGAUCAUGUAAUCACUUAGAUGACUAGAGGGAUGUCUAUCUGAGUGGGAGUUCAUGAGAUGAACAUAAUUAUCCUGAACAUAGUCAAAAGAUCUUUGCAAAUUAUGUCGUAAGCUCGCGCUUUAGUUCCACUGUUUAGAUAUGUUCCUAGAGAAAAUAUAGUUGAAAGUUGACAGUAGCGAUUAUGCGGAUAGAAGAAAGCUUAUGUCCUUAAUGCACCGCUCAGUGUGCUGAACCCCAAACAUCGUCUGUGGAUGUUGCGAACAUCGGACAUACACGUUUUGAUAACUACGUGAUAGUUCGGUUAAACGGUUUAGAGUAGAGGCACCAAAGAUGUUUUUGAAACAUCACGAAACAUAUGAGAUGUUUCGAGGACUGAAAUUGAGAUUUCAGGCUCGUGCCCACGUCAAGAGGUAUGAGACCUCUGAUGAUUUUCUUAGCCUGCAAACUAAGGGAGAAAAGCUCAAUCGUUCAGCUUGUGCUCAGAUUGUCUGAGUGCAACAAUCACUUGAAUCGAGUGGGAGUUGAUCUUCCAGAGAUAGUGAUGUUUCUCCAAAGUCAUUGCCACCAAGCUGCUAGAGCUUCAUGAGGAACUAUAACAAAUCAGGGAUAGAUAUGAUGAAUCUUGAGAUAUUCGCGAUGUUUGACACCGCGAAAGUAGGAAUCAAGAAGGAGCAUCAAUUGUUGAUGGUUAGUGAAACCACUAGUUUCAAGAAGGGCAAGGGCAAGAAGGGAUACUUCAUGAAACAGCAAAUCAGCUGCUGCUUUAAUGAAGAAACCCAAGGUUGAACCUAUACCCGAGACUAAGUGCUUCCGUAAUAAGGGGAACAGCCACUGGAGUAGAAUUACCCUAGAUACUUGGUAGAUGAGAAGGCUGGCAAGGUCGAUAGAAGUAUAUUGGAUAUACAUUAUGUUAAUGUGUACUUUACUAGUACUCCUAGUAGCACCAGGGUAUUAAGAUACCGGUUAGGUUGCUAAGUGUUAGUAACUCGAAAUAAAAGAGCUGCGGAAUAAACGGAGACUAGCUAAAGGUGAGCUGACGAUAUGUGUUGGAAGUGUUUCCAAGUUUGAUGUGAUCAAACAUCGCACGCUCCCUCUACCAUCAAGAUUAGUAUUAAACCUGAAUAAUUGUCAUUUGGUGUUUGUGUUGAUCAUAGACAUGAUUGGAUUAUGUCUAUCGCAAUACGGUUAUUCAUUUAAGGAGAAUAAUGGUUACUCUAUUUAUUUGAAUAAUACCUUCAAUGGUCUUGCAUCUAAAGGAGUGGUUUAUUGAAUCUCGAUCGUAGUGAUACACAUUUUCAUGCCAAAAGAUAUAAGAUAGUAAUGAUAGUACCACUUACUUGUGGCACUGCCAUGUAAGUCAUAUUGGUAUAAAACGCAUGAAGAAGCUCCAUGUUGAUGGAUCUUUGGACUCGCUCGUUUUGAAUAGUUUGAGACAUGCGAACCAUGUCUAUUGGUGUAUAUGCAUGAAGAAACUCCAUGCAGAUGGAUCGUUUGGACUCACUUGAUUUUGAAUCACUUGAGAUAUGCAAAUCAUACCACAUGGGCAAGAUGACUGAAAAGCCUCGUUUUUCAGUAAGAUGGAACAAGAUAGCAACUUGUUGGAAGUAACACAUUUUGAUGUGUGCAGUCCAAUGAGUGCUGAGGCAUGCAGUGAAUAUCGUUAUGUUCUUACUUCACAGAUGAUUCGAGUAGAUGUUGAGUAUAUUUACUUGAUGAAACACAAGUCUGAAUUAUUGAAUGGUUCAAGUAAUUUCAGAGAGAAGUUGAAGAUCAUCGUGACAAGAGGAUAAAAUGUCUAUGAUAUGAUCAUAGAGAUGAGUAUCUGAGUUACGAGCUUUGGCACGCAACAAAGACAUUGUGGAAAUUGUUUCACAAUUAAUACCGCCUGGAACACCAUAGUGUGAUGGUGUGUCCGAACAUCAUAGUUGCACCCUAUUAGAUAUGGUGCGUACCAUGAUGUCUCUUAUCGAAUUACCACUAUCGUUCAUGGGUUAGGCAUUAGAGACAACCGCACUCACUUUAAUAGGGCACCACGUAAUUUCGUUGAGACGACACCGUUUGAACUAUGGUUUGGAGAAACCUAAGUUGUCGUUUCUUAAAAGUUUGGGGCUGCGACGCUUAUGUGAAAAAGUUUCAGGUUGAUAAGCUCGAACUCAAAGCGGACAAAAUGCAUCUUCAUAGGACACCCAAAACAGUUGGGUAUACCUCCUAAUUCAGAUCCGAAAGCAAUAGGGAUUGUUUCUUGAAUCGGGUCCUUUCUCGAGGAAAAGUUCGUCUCGAAAAUUGAGUGGGAGGAUGGUGGAGACUUGAUGAGGUUAUUGAACCAUCACUUCAACUAGUGUGUAGCAGGGCACAGGAAGUUGUUCCUAUGGCGCCUACACCAAUUGAAGUAGAAGCUUAUGAUAGUGAUCAUGAAGUUUCGGAUCAAGUCACUACCGUACCUCGUAGGGUAACAAGGAUGUGUACUACUUCAGAGUGGUACAGUAAUCUUGUCUUGAAGGUCAUAUUGCUAGACAACAAUGAACCUACGAGCUAUGGGGAAGCGAUGGUGGGCCCAUAUUCCGACAAAUGGUUAGAAGCCAUGAAAUCCGAGAUAGGAUCCAUGUAUCAGAACAAAUCUUGGACUUUGGUGGACUUGCCCGAUGAUCGGCAAGCCAUUGAGAUAAAUGGACCUUUAAGAAGAAGAGGGAUGUGGACGGUAAUGUCACAGUCUAUGAAGCUCGACUUGUGGCGAAGAGUUUUUCACAAGUUCAAGGAGUUGACUACGAUGAGAUUUUCUCAUCCGUAGCGAUGCUUAAGUCCGUCGGAAUCAUGUUAGCAUUAGCUGCAUUUAUGAAAUCUGGCAAAUGGAUGUCAAAACGAGUUUCCUUACCAGUUUUCGUAAGGAAAGGUUGUAUGUGAUACAAUCAGAAAGGUUUUGUCGAUCCUAAGGAUGCUAAAAGGUAUGCUAGCUCUAGCGAUCCUUCCAUGGACUGGAGUAAGCAUCUCGGAGUUGGAAUAUGCACUUUGAUAAGAUGAUCAAAGAUUUUAGGUUUAUACAAAGUUUAUGAGAAACUUGUAUUUCCAAAGAAGUGAGUGGGAGCACUAUAGAAUUUCUGAUGAGUAUAUGUUGUUGACAUAUUGAUGAUCCGAAAUGAUGUAGAAUUUUCUGUAAAGCAUAUAGGGUUAUUUGAAAAGUGUUUUUCAAGUGAAAACCUGGUUUAAGCUACUUGAACAUUGAGUAUCAAGAUCUAUGAGGGUAGAUCAAAAACCGCUUAAUGGUACUUUCAAAUGAGCAUAUACCUUGACAUGAUCUUGAAGGUGUUCAAGAUGGAUCAGUCAAAGAAGGAGUUCUUGCCUGAGAUGUAAGGUAUGAAGUUAAGACUUAAAGCUCGACCAUGGCAGAAAAGAGAGAAAGGAUGAAGGUCGUCCCCUAUGCUUUGGACGUAGGCUCUACAGUAUGCUAUGCUGUGUACCGCACCUGAUGUGUGCCUUGCUACAUAUCUGGCAAGAGGGUACAAAGGUGAUCAAGGAGUGGAUCACCACAUAGCGGUCAAGAUUAUCCUUAGAGGAAUAAGGAUAUGUUUCUCGAUUAUGGAGGUGAUAAAGAGUUCGACGUAAAGGGUUACAUCAAUGCAAGCUUUAACACCUAUCCGAAUGACUCUGAGUAGCAAACCGGAUACGUAUAGUGGAGCAACCAUUUGGAAUAGCUCCAAGUGGAGCGUGGAAGCAGCAUUUACAAUAUGACCUAGAGAUUUGCGAAGUACAUACGGAUCUGAAUGUUGCAGACCCGUUGACUAAAACCUCUCUCACAAGCAAAACAUGAUCAAACCCCAGAACUCAUUGAGUCUUAAUCACAUGAUGAUGUGAACUAGUUUAGUGACACUAGUAAACUCUUUGGAUGUUGGUCACAUGGCGAUGUGACCUGUGAGUGCUAAUCACAUGGCGAUGUGAACUAGAUUAUUGACUCUAGUGCAAAUGGGAGACUAUUGGAAAUAUGCCCUAGAGGCAAUAAUAAAUUAGUUAUUAUUAUAUUUCCUUGUUCAUGAUAAUCGUUUAUUAUCCAUGCUAUAAUUGUAUUGAUAGGAAACUCAGAUACAUGUGUGGGUACAUAGACAACACCAUGUCCCUAGUAAGCCUCUAGUUGACUAGCUCGUUGAUCAAUAGAUGGUUACGGUUUCCUGACCAUGGACAUUGGAUGUCGUUGAUAACGGGAUCACAUCAUUAGGAGAAUGAUGUGAUGGACAAGACCCAAUCCUAAGCCUAGCACAGAGAUCGUGUAGUUCGUAUGCUAAAGCUUUUCUAAUGUCAAGUAUCUUUUCCUUAGACCAUGAGAUUGUGCAACUCCGGAUACCGUAGGAAUGCUUUGGGUGUACCAAACGUCACAACGUAACUGGGUGGCUAUAAAGGUGCACUACAGGUAUCUCCGAAAGUGUCUGUUGGGUUGGCAUGAAUCGAGACUGGGAUUUGUCACUCCGUGUGACGGAGAGGUAUCUCUGGGCCCACUCGGUAGGACAUCAUCAUAAUGUGCACAAUGUGAUCAAAUAGUUGAUCGCGGGAUGAUGUGUUACGGAACGAGUAAAGAGACUUGCCGGUAACGAGAUUGAACAAGGUAUCGGUAUACCGACGAUCGAAUCUCGGGCAAGUACAAUACCGUUAGACAAAGGGAAUUGUAUACGAGAUUGAUUGAGUCCUUGACAUCGUGGUUCAUCCGAUGAGAUCAUCCUGGAACAUGUGGGAGCCAACAUGGGUAUCCAGAUCCCGUUGUUGGUUAUUGACCGGAGAACGUCUCGGUCAUGUCUGCAUGGUUCCCGAACCCGUAGGGUCUACACACUUAAGGUUCGAUGACGCUAGGGUUAUAAAGGAAGUUCAUAUGUGGUUACCGAAUGUUGUUCGGAGUCCUGGAUGAGAUCCCGGACGUCACGAGGAGUUCCGGAAUGGUCCGGAGGUAAAGAUUUAUAUAUGGAAAGUUGUUGUUCGGGUUCCGGAAAAAGUUCGGGUUUUUUCGGUAUUGUACCGGGAAGCUUCCAGAAGGUUCCGGAGGAUUCCGGAGGGGUCCGGAGGUCUGGAAAUUGUUCCACCACGUCCAAUACAGUAGCAUGGGCUGUAGGGGGCGCCCUAGCCUUAAUGGGCCAGGGGCACCAGCCCCCCCAAGGCCCAUGCGCAUGGGAAGGGGAAAACCCUAAGGGGGAGGGCCUCCACUUGACUUGGGAGGCACUCCUCCCCCCCUUGGCCGCCGCCCCCUCCUCAGAUUGGAUCUGAGGGGGCCGGCCCCUUCUCCCUUGCCCCUAUAUAUAUGUGGGGGUGGGAGGGCAGCCGCACCACAAGUUCUGGCGCAGCCCUCCCCCUCUCCCAAGCCCUCCUCCUCUCCCGCGGUGCUUGGCGAAGCCCUGCAGGAUUGCCACGCUCCUCCAUCACCACCACGCCGUUGUGCUGCUGCUGGAUGGAGUCUUCUCAACCUCUCCCUCUCUCCUUGCUGGAUCAAGGCAUGGGAGAUGUCACCGGGCUGUACGUGUGUUGAACACGGAGGUGCCGUCCGUUCGGCACUAGGAUCUCUGGUGAUUUGGAUCACGACGAGUACGACUCCUUCAACCCCGUUCUCUUGAACGCUUCCGCUUAGAGAUCUACAAGGGUAUGUAGAUGCACUCUCCUUCCCCUCAUUGCUGGUUUCUCCAUAGAUAGAUCUUGGUGACACGUAGGAAAAUUUUGAAUUUCUGCUACGUUCCCCAACAGUGGCAUCAUGAGCUAGGUCUAUUGCGUAGAUUCUUUGCACGAGUAGAACACAAAGUAGUUGUGGGCGUUGAUUUUGUUCAAUAUGCUUACCGUUACUAGUCCAAUCUUGUUUCGACAGUAUUGUGGGAUGAAGCGGCCCGGACCGACCUUACACGUACUCUUACGUGAGACAGGUUCCACCGACUGACAUGCACUUGGUGCAUAAGGUGGCUAGCGGGUGCCAGUCUCUCCCACUUUAGUCGGAAUGGAUUCGAUGAAAAGGGUCCUUAUGAAGGGUAAAUAGCAAUUGGCAUAUCACGUUGUGGUUUUGGGUAGGUAAGAAAUGUUCUUGCUAGAAACCCAUAGCAGACACGUAAAACAUGCAAACAACAAUUAGAGGACGUCUAACUUGUUUUUGCAGGGUAUGCUAUGUGAUGUGAUAUGGCCAAGAAGAAUGUGAUGAAUGAUAUGUGAUGUACGAGAUUGAUCAUGUUCUUGUAAUAGGAAUCACGACUUGCAUGUCGAUGAGUAUGACAACCGGCAGGAGCCAUAGGAGUUGUCUUUAUUUAUUGUAUGACCUGCGUGUCAUUGAAAAAUGCCAUGUAAUUACUUUACUUUAUUGCUAACCGGUAGCCAUAGUAGUGGAAGUAAUAAGUUGGCGAGACAACUUCAUGGAGACACGAUGAUGGAGAUCAUGAUGAUGGAGAUCAUGGUGUCAUGCCGGUGACGAUGAUGAUCAUGGAGCCCCGAAGAUGGAGAUCAAAAGGAGCAAUGUGAUAUUGGCCAUAUCAUGUCACUAUUUGAUUGCAUGUGAUGUUUAUCAUGUUUAUGCAUCUUAUUUUCUUAGAUCGACGGUAGUAAAUAAGAUGUUCCCUCAUUAAAAUUUCAAGAAAGUGUUCCCCCUAACUGUGCACCGUUGCGAAAGUUCGUCGUUUCGAAGCACCACGUGAUGAUCGGGUGUGAUAGAUUCUUACGUUCACAUACAACGGGUGUAAGACAGAUUUACACACGCGAAACACUUAGGUUGACUUGACGAGCCUAGCAUGUACAGACAUGGCCUCGGAACACAAGAGACCGAAAGGUCGAGCAUGAGUCGUAUAGUAGAUACGAUCAACAUGAAGAUGUUCACCGAUGAUGACUAGUCCGUCCCACGUGAUGAUCAGACACGACCUAGUUGACUCGGAUCAUGUAAUCACUUAGAUGACUAGAGGGAUGUUUAUCUGAGUGGGAGUUCAUGAGAUGAACUUAAUUAUCCUGAACAUAGUCAAAAGAUCUUUGCAAAUUAUGUCGUAAGCUCGCGCUUUAGUUCCACUGUUUAGAUAUGUUCCUAGAGAAAAUAUAGUUGAAAGUUGACAGUAGCGAUUAUGCGGAUAGAAGAAAGCUUAUGUCCUUAAUGCACCGCUCAGUGUGCUGAACCCCAAACGUCGUCUGUGGAUGUUGCGAACAUCGGACAUACACGUUUUGAUAACUACGUGAUAGUUCAGUUAAACGGUUUAGAGUAGAGGCACCAAAGACGUUUUUGAAACAUCACGAAACAUAUGAGAUGUUUCGAGGACUGAAAUUGGGAGUUCAGGCUCGUGCCCACGUCAAGAGGUAUGAGACCUCCGACGAUUUUCUUAGCCUGCAAACUAAGGGAGAAAAGCUCAAUCGUUGAGCUUGUGCUCAGAUUGUCUGAGUGCAACAGUCACUUGAAUUGAGUGGGAGUUGAUCUUCCAGAGGUAGUGAUGUUUCUCCAAAGUCAUUGCCACCAAGCUGCUAGAGCUUCGUGAUGAACUAUAACAAAUCAGGGAUAGAUAUGAUGAAUCUUGAGAUAUUCGCAAUGUUUGACACCGCGAAAGUACGAAUCAAGAAGGAGCAUCAAUUGUUGAUGGUUGGUGAAACCACUAGUUUCAAGAAGGGCAAGGGAAAGAAGGGAUACUUCAUGAAACAGCAAAUCAGCUACUGCUUUAAUGAAGAAACCCAAGGUUGAACCUAUACCCGAGACUAAGUGCUUCUGUAAUAAGGGGAACAGCCACUGGAGCAGAAUUACCCUAGAUACUUGGUAGAUGAGAAGGCUGGCAAGGUCGAUAGAAGUAUAUUGGAUAUACAUUAUGUUAAUGUGUACUUUACUAGUACUCCUAGUAGCACCAGGGUAUUAAGAUACCGGUUCGGUUGCUAAGUGUUAGUAACUCGAAAUAAAAGAGCUGCGAAAUAAACGGAGACUAGCUAAAGGUGAGCUGACGAUAUGUGUUGGAAGUGUUUCCAAGUUUGAUGUGAUCAAACAUCGCACGCUCCCUCUACCAUCAAGAUUAGUAUUAAACCUGAAUAAUUGUCAUUUGGUGUUUGUGUUGAGCAUAGACAUGAUUGGAUUAUGUCUAUCGCAAUACGGUUAUUCAUUUAAGGAGAAUAAUGGUUACUCCAUUUAUUUGAAUAAUACCUUCAAUGGUCUUGCACCUAAAGGAGUGGUUUAUUGAAUCUCGAUCAUAGUGAUACACAUUCUCAUGCCAAAAGAUAUAAGAUAGUAAUGAUAGUACCACUUACUUGUGGCACUGCCAUGUAAGUCAUAUUGGUAUAAAACGCAUGAAGAAGCUCCAUGUUGAUGGAUAUUUGGACUCACUCCUUUUGAAUAGUUUGAGACAUGCGAACCAUGUCUAUUGGUGUAUAUGCAUGAAGAAACUCCAUGCAGAUGGAUCGUUUAGACUCACUUGAUUUUGAAUCACUUGAGAUAUGCAAAUCAUACCACAUGGGCAAGAUGACUGAAAAGCCUCGUUUUUCACUAAGAUGGAACAAGAUAGCAACUUGUUGGAAGUAACACAUUUUGAUGUGUGCAGUCCAAUGAGUGCUGAGGCAUGCAGUGAAUAUCGUUAUGUUCUUACUUCACAGAUGAUUCGAGUAGAUGUUGAGUAUAUUUACUUGAUGAAACACAAGUCUGAAUUAUUGAAUGGUUCAAGUAAUUUCAGAGAGAAGUUGAAGAUCAUCGUGACAAGAGGAUAAAAUGUCUAUGAUAUGAUCAUAGAGAUGAGUAUCUGAGUUACGAGCUUUGGCACGCAACAAAGACAUUGUGGAAAUUGUUUCACAAUUAAUACCGCCUGGAACACCAUAGUGUGAUGGUGUGUUCAAACAUCAUAGUUGCAACCUAUUAGAUAUGGUGCGUACCAUGAUGUCUCUUAUCGAAUUACCACUAUCUUUCAUGGGUUAGGCAUUAGAGACAACCGCACUCACUUUAAUAGGGCACCACGUAAUUCCGUUGAGAUGACACCAUUUGAACUAUGGUUUGGAGAAACCUAAGUUGUCGUUUCUUAAAAGUUUGGGGCUGCGACGCUUAUGUUUUUCAAGAUGGCACCGUGAUUCUCAGCUUUUAACCAUGGCACGAUGAGGCCAUAUCAUGAUGGCACCGUGCCAUGCGUCAUGUUUUUCAAGCACGUAUUUCAUUUUUCUAUAGUUGAUAACCCAGUAAAUGAUGUGUUUGUGGUUGACUAUUGCCACGCAUUCCCUUGAAAUCUCUGCCCAUUCCUUGUAAAAGGCUUGAGAAUUUACUAAAUACCACAAGUAUGGUUUUUCCAGACCGUUCUUGUGCACCUUUUCAUGUAUGGUUUUUCCAGACCGUUCUUGUGCACCUUUUCAUGCACCGGUUGUUUGAAUUUGAAUUAUGUGGAUUGAUGCCUAGAAAAUACACAUAAUCCCCUAAUAUGAUAAAUGAGCCCGAAAAAACUGCCAAAUUUGAGCAUGUUGCAUUCGAGGGUGUAUGUUGAUUGUAGGAAAAACUGAAUGACAAUCUAGGAAGGAAAUUUGGAUUCCCGGCCCCUUCAAUCUUACUGAUUCCCCUUGAAACCAUGAAAUUUCCUCGGUGAUGGUUUGAUUUAUGAAUGGUGUGCAUGACGACAUAAGACAAACAUUCUAAAAAAUUACCGGGGCAUGGUGAGGCCAUACCAUGGCACCAAGCCAGGGUCAUGUUUUCCAAGCAUGUAUUUCAUUUUUGUAUAGUACCUAGUAAACACAUUUCCUUGAAAUAUCUGCCCAUUCCUUGUAAAAGGCAUGAGAAUUUAGUAAAUAGCACGAUCAUGGUUUUUCGGACCGUUCUCGUGCACCUUUUCAUGCAUCGAUUGUUUGAAUUUGAAUUAUGUGCAUAAAUGCCUAGAAAAUGCACAUAGUCCCCUAAAUAUUGUAAAUAAACCCGGAAAAGUGCCAAAUUUGAAUACGGUGAUUAGCAGGGUUUAUGUUCAUCAUAGAAAAAAACUCAUGGGCAAAGGACAAAGGAAAUUUGAAUUCUCAUUCAAUCUCGGUGAUUCACAUGAUUCAUCUCCGUCGCCUCUGCGAACCGUGUGUGUUCACUCACACAUGCAAAAGGAAAAAAGAAAACCCUCGCCCACUUCGUCCCCACCCACUCGCCGCGGACUCCUCCGCAACUCUGCACCUCAUCAACUUCUAUCACGGCGGACACCCUAAGCUCAACGGCGCUGUUGUCGGCCGGCGAAGGUCACGCUCCAAACAUCACGGGAUUUCGCCCCUACCGCUUUUCGCUGCCUAUCUGCACCGACAUUCUAGACUCUGGUCGACUAGGGUUUUAUGCGGGAUUGGGCUGAGGAUUUUUCUCAUGGAGAAGGUAAUCAACUUAGCGAAAUAUUCACUCGUCUCUUAUCGCUGUUCGUCCGUCGCUGUUAAUCAACUGGCGAAAAUCAUCGUGGAAUCAUUUUUGUUCUAGCUGAUUCGUGGGUGUUCUUUCAUGUGUCCAAAGUACGAGCACAAAUCGGGCAAGUGUGGUCACGGCCAGUCGGAAACGAAGUUCUAUCUCACCAUUCCGGAUGACUUUAGGGAGCGCUCGGUAUAUUCAAUCUCAACCUACCACAGUGGGCAUGGCCUAUAUUUGUGAACAUAUACCAUCUAUUGCUACAUUAUCUAUAUAUUUGCCUAAAAUAUUUGUUAUAUUAUCUAUCUUUAAUUAUAUAUUUUUGUACUUUGCUUUCAUCUAUAUAUUGAUCUGUUCUAUCAGUUACUCCCACAUUUGCAUCUUGCUCUGUUAUUUCAAUAUAUCUAGUUUACGAUCUUAAUUUUCAUUUCAAGCAGUACAUCCCUUGCUUUGCAAGAAUAGGAGUAAAAGGAAAUCUUGGGCUUUGCUUUGUUGAUGACUCCUAGGAUGUCAUAUUGACAACGCCAGCAUGGACUUACAAUGACGAUUAGCGUAAAACUUCAUAAAGAUGGCCACUCCUAUUUUAAUGCGGACAUUUGGAGAAAAAUGUCCAAGUGUUACGAACUGAAAGCCGACAAUAAAAUUCUAGUGCGUGCACCACCGCCUGGUCUAAUUAACAUGAAUGUUUACUUCCCCAACGUCAUCAGCCGAUCAAAGUCUGAUCAAAGUUAGUGUCCUUUCAACUUUCUCCAUGCUGUCAUAUUACUUAGCAAAAUCAGGGUAUUUGUUCUGACUAAUUGAUCGCUAUUUAAGCAACCAAUUGUGAUUUCAUUCUCUAACUCCGUUCCUAGGCAGUAACAAAUUCUAUUUACCAAUUUAUGUGCAUUAUAUAUUUUUCUACCAUGUUCUGAAUAAAUAAUACCUUCCCACCUUUUAAGCAGGAUAUGUUAGAUGCAUAGUAAAUGAUCUGUAUGUUACUAAGCGUACCAAAUUUUACUGGAAGGACUUGAAGCAUGUCAUAAACUUUGUUGAUAAUCUGACAGAGAUAGCACAACGUAUGAAUGCUGGAUUUUGGAUGAGAUUAAUUAUGCCUAUGGUGCACACGUUGAACAAGACCAAUUGUGUGCACAAAACGCUGGUAAAAAGUCUUAUUUUAAUGUUCAUGCAUAAACUAUAUAUAUCUUCAACGAUAUGUUACAAUUAGUUUUUAUUCUACAUUUCAACAGAAAUUGCCCGCUAUAGUAGUUCCUGGUUCAAUUUCCCGGCGUGGUCGAAUUACACUUGUGCCUGCUAAUAAUGCCAAACUGAUUGUAAGGUACUGCAUUUCCCGCAGAAAUGGAACCAUUCAAAUUAACAAGUUCUCGCUUGUCGUGGCAAUGCAUCCAUAUUGGAAAAUUAAAGACACUGUUCUACUCAUGCUCUACCAAGACACGAGAGGGCUCUUCCUUUUCAUUGACAAGAUGACGAGUCACCGUGAUCAAGCUGCUUCUAGCGGAUAGUUGUGGUUGUUAGCCCUCAGCCUCUUAAAAUGUGCUAGUUGUUACUAUGUUAAGUAUGUAGAUAUGGACCAUAUGUUUGUUGGCCCUUAGCCUAUUAAAAUGUGAUAGUUGUUACUAUGUUAAGUAUGUAGAUAUGGACCAUAUGGUUGUCAAAAACGUGUUACGAGGAUCCUCAUUUUGUCGAACAGUGUAACCACUAUAUAUAUGUUGCUCAAAUGUUGUUAGCCAAGUUCUUAAAUUUUCAUGAAAAAUAUUAGUAUCAUACACAGUUCAUUGAGUUUAAGCGUGUGUCCGAUGUCCAGAACUCAUUUGCAUAUUAACUGUCCAUAUUGCAAAUUCACACACAUGUUAACAUAAGGAAACGUAUGUGUAACUUACUAAUCAUCGCACACGAGUACUCGCAGACGCAUCGUGUGCGAUACCUAGGCACCGCAAGCAACUAGUUUGCAUUUUUCAAAGUUUUUUGACACACAGAAUCAUACACAAACUUACUAUAUUAACCGUAUGUGUUAUAAUUUCUUAUCGCAAAUAGUUCAUCCAAGUCGGCUAUUUUCCACGUAUCAGACACAUCUUGUUUAUAGGAAUCAUUUGUGUUCUUUUGGCUCAUCGCAAAUAGUUCAUUCAUGUGAAUUGGAUGCCGCAUAUUACACACAUCUUGUUAAGUUGAACCGUUUCUGUUGUGUUCCUUAAUCGAAAACAGUUUGUCCGAGUGAAUCGUAUGCCGCAUAUCACACACACCUUGAUCUGGCUAACCGUUUUUGUUGCACUCCCUAAUAGCAAACAGUUCAUUGGAGCGAACUGUAUGCCGUAUAUCGCACACACAUUGAUAUGGCUGCCCAUUUCUUUUGUUCUGCCUUAUCACAAACAAUUCGGAUGAAUUAACCGUGUGCCCUGCAUCGCACACGCAACUAAAAUCUGAACCGUAUUUGAUGGCUCCGCCUCGCAAACGUUUUGCACAUUUUUGACGGUUUUUUACACCACUGUCUGUGAUUAAUGCAUAGCACAUAGUUUUAUCAAAGGGUCUCUGAUCGUAGUAUCGCGUUAGCAGCAUCCUGUAGUAGUGGGCGCGGAGAGGCGUGUGGGUGGUGGGGAGGGUGGGAGAGGGUAUACUUGCGUGGGAGGUGGGGGGGAAGUUGGGAUGUGGAAAGUGCGUGGGAGGGGGGGUCGAGUGCGUUGGGCUUCUUUCAGUUGGGCCUGGUACGACGAUCGGCCUCAUGAGCGGGAGGGUGCUCGACUCGCAGGAGGGGGGAGGAUCGUAUGGCAGAUUUCCUAUCGAGCACACCGUUGCCAAAUUUCACUAUCCUUCAGAAAAUACUAAAGAAAACAAAAUAAAACUUUUUUUGUAACAUACAUAGUCAACUAGUAUGCUCGCAUAGUUUCACAAAUAAAUGACAUUUGCGGUAUUUCAGGAAAAAAAUCAAAGCUAUGAUAAACACACCAUUUGAUGAAUAAUAAGGUCUCAAUUAUAUUUUCUUCAUGGAGCUCGGUCGGCCCAACUGCGGUUGUCUGCGAGCAGUUUUGGGGAGCUUGGGGAUGGUUCCGAGAGCCUUCUGCACAGUUUUUGGAAGGUCCCAUCUUUGUUUUUCUUUUCUUGACCUUGUUUAUUUUCAAAUUCACAGAAUUUUCGAAACCCUUCUGGUUUUAGUGUAUGAACAUUUUUUACAUGCCAUGAAAAUUUAAAAAUAUACAUAUUUUUUAUUGUUUAAUGAUUUUUUUCUAAAAUGCGAACAGGUUUAAGUAUUAUGAUUAUUUUUAAAUGAUAUGAAGGUUUUAAUAUGUUAUGAAUAAUAUAUAAAAAUUCCACGAACAAAUUUUAAAAUUGCAUGAAUUUUUUAAAAAAAUCAUGACACAUUUCUAAGGCCCUGUUCCGAUAUCCACCAGAUCCGUGAAAUUAGAGGAGUUGCAGAGCACCUAAUUUCCAGCUCCAGUAUUUUAGGCUACAACUCCGCCGGCUCCGCGGAGCCCAGUCUGGGAGCCGAGGGAUUCCGAGCACUCCCUAAAUGUCAUGGAUUUUUUAAUAGUAAGAAUAUUUUUUUGAGAUUAUGUGAACACAUUUUUACAUAUUCAUGAAGAUUUCAUGAACAUAUUUAUAAACAUGUUAACAUUUUAAAAAUGUCACAAAAUAGUUUUUAUAAUUAUAGAAUUUUUUAAGAAAAAAUGCACAACCAAAUUUUUACAUUGCAGUAACAAUUUUUAAUGUCGUUGAACAUUUGAAAAAUUUAAGUAAUUAAAUUUAAGAAAUGCUAAAAAUAUGUUGUCAGGUUUUUAAGCAUGGCAAAUUGAAUAUUUUUUAUAGAAAAUUAAGUUGUCGUGAAUUUCUUUUACCGCACCUGGCAAUUACUGGUAAAAAAUAAACAUGGCAAGGAUUUGCCAUGCUUGCUAGAUGAAAUUUUUCAUCCUCAUGACAAACAUAAUUGCCAUCUUGGGCAUUUGAUUUGCCAUGUUUAAAAUUUUGAGGUUUGCUUUUUUAUUGAAAUCCUAAAUUUUUUCCCCCAUAAGUCUAUUUAAAUCAUUUUGGAAUAUACAAUAGGUAAUAAAAAAUUGCAAGCUAACUCCACUCGAGGCAGACAGGCACAAGGAGAAAAUCAGCAACGCAGUGGGCCGGCCCAUAUAAGAACAACAAGCUCCAUCUCACACAAAAAGCAAGAUGCAUUCACUUCAAAAGAAAUUUUAAGAAAGAUACAUACGCUCCGACAACCAUGCUCCAAAAUUCAUGAAAUCGAGGUGUUUUUCACUUAUAAAAAUAAAAGCAAAAAGCCUAUUCUUAUGUGUUGCUGCACAACAUUUUUAGAACACCAUAAGCAUGUUUUUUAGAACUCCAUCUAUUCUAAAAAUGUUGUGCACGCGAUAUUCUCGAAAAGAAAACCAUUUACUUCUUCAAUCAGUCAUCCUGGCUCCACCAGGCUGCACCGCUGCUGCUAACGAGCAGAUGGAGUGGGCUCACAACCUCCCAAGGCGUUUUACUCUGCUUCCAGCGGGACCAAGCCAUGUCGCUGCACCCGGGCCGGCACAGUCACGCAGGUCACUAGGUCAGCGUGCUCUUGUUGCCCCACCCCCACCCCCACCACACCCCAGGCCGCGGCAUAGUACAACAAGGCCCACACCCCGCCCGGACCCGGGCCCUCAAAAUCUAGCCAGCUCGACGCCCGCCCCCUCCCACCGGUCGGCCGGGUCGCUGCGCCGCAUUACGCCCGUCACGAGCACUCGAUGCGCUCCGUCGACGGCGUGCGUGCUCCGCGUGUGCCCUUGUAAGCAAAUUAAAAGCGCCACAAGGCCACAACGUCCAUGUCGGAACUUCAAAUUCAAAAAAGAAAAAGAAAAUGCUGCGGUCGUGUGCCUCGACCGAUCCAUCGAUCGAGCUCAUGGCAAGCAGGCAGUUUAAUGAUUCGACGGGCGUACGGCCGGGCGAGCAUGUGUGGUGGUGGUAUGUACCCUAGCAUGAAUGAAUGAAUGCGGAAGCCGAGCCCGUCCAACGGACUGGAUCCAUCCAUCGGCGCAGGCAGCUGCGUCGCGUUAUUCUCGUCACGGGGUUGUAGCUAGCUAUAGUUAGGCGUACAUUACAUGCAUGCAUGGCUGUUCUGAAUUUCUGUCUGGAUCAUGUAUGUAUCUGAAUCUGAUCAGUGGUGGUGAUCUCUGUCUGUCUGCCUGCCUGCAGCAGCCCAGCCCUGCGUACGUACGUGCCAGAGAUCGGCAGCAGCUAAUUAACGGAGCUCGGCUAGCCGGUUACUCUUCGCUACACAGUAUAUUUAUGUCGAAACGGGAAAAACAACAACUUAGCCCCAAUCCAACCCGUUCUGCGUGCUCUGUCAGAGCCGUGGAGAGAUGCGUGAAAUAUGUCUACUCUUCUCUUGGUCUGCCGACGACGAAGCUCAGCGAACAAGUGCAAAUGAAUGUCGGGCGAGCCCCAGGCCCAAAUGAUCUACUCCUAUCUGCAUUGCAUUGCAUGGCCCCCGCACCGGGCACCAAGUUGCGGUGCUCGCUCGCUCGGUCAAAGUGUCAACCAGCUAGGGACACGGUAGCUGCACCAUAUUACGAUGCUCACGAGCCAUAACUCCUCACGCGCCGCGGCUCCGUCCAUCUCAACGUCUCGCAGGUCGCAGCAACAACAAGCAGGCACAGCACAUGGCACGGCGACCCCUCAAAUCAAAGUCCGAUGCUGCAGGCAGGGGAAACAAACCGACCGAUCUACAACAACUAGCGCGCUCGAUCUGCCCAUGGAUGGAUGGACCUCACGAGUCACGAGCAAUAAAUCCACCUGCCUGGCCCCCGAACCCGCAACAAAGAAGAAAGGGUCGCUCGCGUCUUCCCAAGCCCACUUUCUGGUAGCCAAGCCCUCACGUUACGCUAUUGCUAGGCUGGGCUGGGUUGUUGCGUCGCAUUACGAGCUCCUCACGAGCGUACGUGUGCGCGCGCCCAUCGGUCGGCUCCAUCUCAUUUUUCUCCUCCACCCUGAACUGAACUGAGGCCAGUCGGGGCAGCAACGUGGCCCAAGCGCCCCAGAUUGGCACGGCACGGUGGGUUGUUGCUGCGUCAACCACCGCAUCACGAGUAAUAAACCCGGCUACCAUUUCUCCUUGCGUGGACGUGGAUCUCACACGCAUCCACGAUCAGUUGUUCCACGAUAUGCGUGUCCUCUUCCCUUGUCGCGCGCGCACAGGCACAGUGCUGCUGCCGCUGCUACAGCUGCCUGUGCUGUGCUAUGCUACGCUAGCUGCCACCCCUCUGUUGCGGCGUCAUCACAAGUUCAGAACAGGAGGGCAGCAGUCGGCAGAGCCAACGGGGAAAGGUGGCACGGGAAACUACUCGUCACUGCCACAGUGCACGCCUCUUUCCCCCCUUUGGAUCUAUCCAGCCUCGUCGCCACUCCCUCUAAUAAAAAUUUGUAACAGGAGUUUAAUAUUUGGCCUCUGCCACUGUGAUUCCAACGUAAGAUUUAGAAGUUCAGAACUACUAUUACCACUACGCUGCGGUGCUGUAGAAAGCAACACCUGUCUUAUUGCCUGUCCCGUCCUGGGUGUAGUUUAGUUUAAUUUAGCUUAGGCUCAUCAUCGCCACUCGCCAGUAUCUCUCUCUCGGAGGCAGACUCGGGACGGGAGAAGAGGAUCGGAGCAGCUGCUAAUGACAACAGUUGCCACCUUUGUCGGUUGCAGGGAGGAUGGAUCGACGAAGGCACCAGGCGGCACUCUGACGGAGGCAUUAGGAACGAGAAGCGAUGGAAUCAUACGUACUGCUACCUCGGUGGCGUGAUAGAUGCUAGCUUUUGGUGCUUGGACGCGCUCGCCCGUGCGUUGCGUCCGGCCUAGACAUGUCCCUGUCGCUGACUGACUGCAAACCAACGAUAUACGCUACGCGCGGAGACGGGUGCGUCCAAGGCGGUGGAGCCAGACGGCGUCUUUGCUCCAUGGACCGACCGGCCUCGGCCCAUCCAUCCAUGGAACGCCGUGGCAAACGACAAGGCGCGCGCCUGCCUGCCUGUCCGCCCGUGCGCGGCCGCCCCGACCUCCUCAGAUCGAUCGAUCGAUCGAUCUGUCCUCCACCUCGCGCGAGCCGGCCACCGCCGCGCAAUCCAUUUCCUUCGUCUACGUGCGCGGGCGGGGCACCGAAAUCCGACUUCUGCCCGUUGCCGCGCGCCACCACCACGCACGGUGCAUGGCAGCAAGCGGUUCAAUUUCCGGACCAUGCAUGGUGAACGACGGAGGUGAGUCUCCAAAUGACAUGAUGUCUCAGUCUCUCAAAAAUGCUCGUAGAAUGCGUUUAUAGUAUAUGAGCAUAUGCGUGUGUACUGUGUUGUAGAAUGCGUCUUUCUUAAACACGGUACAUUAACAGAGGUAAGAUUCCGACAUGCAUGUACUCAAAACAUUCCCGCAAAAUAAAGUUGCAUGUAAACACAUUGUUAAUCUGGCUGACAAUUUGGAGUCACCAGCGCCCGUGCGCAAGGAAAAGUCGCGGAGAGGGAGAUCUAUCGACCGAUCGACGCAUGUUGUAACCCGGCCGCCUUGUUCGUUUCCCUCUCUUGUACCCAUUGCUCGAUGGCGAUCGAUCGAGAGAAUCCUAGGGCCAAGAUAAAAACAAGCAAUUUUCCUUCCUGUUUUCAUUUUGGAUCGGUCGAAGGAGAUAGAAAAUAAGAAUCCUAUGGCGCAACGGAUUAAUCAAACGCGCACGUUAAAACACUAUAGCUCCGCGGCAGCUGGGCGACUAAUUUGGCGCCAGAUUGAUUGGUUCUUUAACCCGCAAAAGAACGAAAAAAAUGGCGCCAGAUCUACGCGUCACGCUCGAUGUUUCAUCCACACUUUCAAAUCGGUCCAAACCAACUGCCGCCUUGCAACACAAAACUAGUUUUAAAACUAUACAUAUGCACCGAUGAUCGUGUGCGUCACAUCGAUCGUUAACCAAUAUAUGAAUUACGGGUCUGCACUCUGCAGGGCAGCAAGUGAUGUUCUUGUUCUCCUGUCAGACAGCAAAAACUUCGAUUAGCAUUUUUUACGCUUAUCAUUUCUGGAGGCGUCGAUCUCGAUCACAUGAUGGUGAUAAGACAAUGUGCGAAGAAGAUUACGCCGGGACAAAACGUACAGAACGGCCAUCUCUUGCGAUCAUGCGUGCUGCUGUGAGCAUGUGCACAUAUACCGCCCAAGAAAAAAUCGGACGGAUUUUCUUGGGAUCCGAUGGCUCUAAUUAACUCUUUUCACCUCGCACGAAAUCACAUCAUAUUUGAUGUGAAGAUGUCAUUUUAGUAGGGAGAGUGCCCCUGAGUCCAUGCAAGUGACUGUAACUUGGUUAGAAACUUAUGUAAUUAACAUGUGCUUGGAUGGAUACGAGACAGUGGUAUCACAACCUAUCAGGGUUAAGCUCUAGACUUGACAUUUGAUGUGGUUCUGAAUUUAUUUCGGUUCUUCUGACGAUGUGCGUUUAAUGAGAGAAAACGUUUUCGUUAACUACGAAGGUGUCUGUGGUGACUUCGUUAAUCUUAAAAUAAUGUGUCGUUUUAGUCUUCCAGAGACGCUCAUAGGAUAGGGUGUGCGUGUUUGCGUUCGAACAAAUGAAUCAUAUGUGUAUGUAUGAGCGUCUAUGUCUGUAACCUGCUAAAAAAAACUAAUUAACCUGCCGAUGUGUGUAGAUUGGCGAGGUAUAGUAGUUUAUAUUUUUCUUGUCCUUUUUUUUAACUUUGACAUUUCCACUGCUUUAUUUAAGAAACAAUUACCACUACUCGCCACGUCUCUCUGCACGUGAGCUGUGUCUUUCUCCUAUCCGUUAUACGUACGUAGUGAGAAUCUGAGAUUGUCCGUAGAUUGCCAAUUUUAAUGCUAUAAUAACCUCUCCUGAUCUAGCCUGCAAAUCAACCAAAAUGUAGUUCCAUGUCUGAGCAAAUUGACCUGAAAUUUAACGCGUCUCCUUUUUUUUUGGAUAAAAAUUUGACCUGUUAAUUAAAUUCCACAGAGGACCUCGCAAGUCUCUCUCCUGAAAUACUCGCUAGACAAAACACAAAAAGGUUUUAGGUACUGUGGCAAAAUUUAAGGUUCUUGCUCUAGGAAAUAGUAAAAUUCAAUUCUGUUUGGUUCAGUUGGGGUAGGUUCUUUCUAAUGUUUACAUGGACCCACGGUGCAGAGACCCUACUAGGUAUGAUGCGAGGCCACCCCCACCCUUUGCUUUGCCUGUAAAAAGCAGCAGUUGGCAACUGGCAUGGCUGCAGCCUCGACUCCUUGACCCAACAGCCCCCUCCCAGGGGCACUGUCCUCCCCUCCUUGUAUGAAAAAAAGAAGCUGCAGGCGCCAAUAAGUUUUCAUCGCAGGCUUUUUACCGGCUCUUUUAGGUGAAUUUAUUGAACACUCAUUCAAUCAAUCAUGCUGCCCUACCACCUUCAUUCACACACACACAAAAAAAAAGUUUAGUGAAAGUGAGAUUAGCACUCAAAUCAUACAGCUGCAAAGCCUGCAUACUGAUGUUAAAAGAUAAUGUGGUGAUGAGUUCCAGAAGAAAGAAUAAUCACUUUGGGACUGCCAUGAGCCAUGCUGGUUAAGAAGAGCACAUGAACCCUACCUGUUCUAUAUUUAAAUGGCUUUAUGUGAGGCUCCAAAGUGCUCCUAAAGAGGAAAAUGUCUAGAUCUCAUAGUCCCAUGAGGUAGGUAUGCUUGAAUCUUGCAAUCUGUUUGAUUGGAGAAAAUGGGAUAAACAACUCCACCAGAAAAACAAAACACAGACAUGGCCAUGGAAAUGGCAUGAUUCCACCAUUAGUUUAUGAGCUAAACCACACUUGAUUAACAUAUUUACCAUACUACUAAUGGAAAAAUGGGGAGCGCAGUAAGAGGAAUGCAUUGAUGAAUCAGCAGCAGCACUGCCCUUUUGAGCACUGGAAUGCAAUGCAGGCAACAAAAAACUGAAACAAGAACACACUUGUAAAGAAACAAAACGAAAAUCCAUUUUUGUUGAUUUUCUCAUAUCUUCAGUCUCUCAUAUCCACAAAGAUAUCAUCAAAAAGCCCUCGGAGAAGGGAAAGGGGAAAUAAAUAAGAAAUACCUAAAAUGAAGAAGGGGAGACAAAAUUGUAUAGAGGAAGAAGACUCUCCCUCCUCCCAUCAGCACACACCCUCCUCUCUUCUUUCAGAGUUCAAGAAGCUUAUUGUUGCUGCCCAUAAUCCUCUAACCGCCACAAUGCUCGAUAAUUACUGUUGCACCACAACUUCGUUUCCAUGAUGAUCGAUGGACGGGCUUUCGGGGUAAGAAAGAUCGACGAUAACUCAAUGAACAAGCCGAGAGCAGCACCAAGCUAUAUAUGUACAGCGCAUCAGAUCGGCGAUGCGCUUAGCCUUCUCCUCUUGGAAGCUGGAGUGGAGGCCUGAUCGUUGCUGCUACUGUUGUUGUUCGAGGGUGAUGACCCUGGUGCUGUGUCAUCAUUCCUGAAGCUGAAGCAUGGCACAUCCAGCACCCCGAUCGGGCUCAGCGGCGCUGAAAGGCUCGCGUUGAAGUUACCUCUCUUCUUCACCAACAGCGCGUAGCAUCCCGCAAUCAUCUCCU
This 41309-nucleotide long non-coding RNA is filed under the name Triticum aestivum (bread wheat). Its description in RNAcentral is "long non-coding RNA (TAES_LNC022098)". Lineage: Eukaryota; Viridiplantae; Streptophyta; Magnoliopsida; Poales; Poaceae. The record is from RNAcentral.